UACGAAGGGGGCUAGCGUUGCUCGGAAUCACUGGGCGUAACGCGCACGUAGGCGGAUUGCUAAGUCAGGGGUGAAAUCCUGGAGCUCAACUCCAGAACUGCCUUUGAUACUGGCGACCUUGAGUCCGGGAGAGGUGAGUGGAACUGCGAGUGUAGAGGUGAAAUUCGUAGAUAUUCGCAAGAACACCCGUGGCGAAGGCGGCUCUCUGGGACGGUACUGACGCUGAGACGCGAAAGCGUGGGGAGCGAACAGG
Molecule: ribosomal RNA, 253 nt
Filed under: uncultured bacterium
Lineage: Bacteria
Description: partial 16S ribosomal RNA
Rfam family: Bacterial small subunit ribosomal RNA
Source: RNAcentral